Molecule: transfer RNA, 74 nt
Filed under: Saccharomyces paradoxus
Lineage: Eukaryota; Fungi; Ascomycota; Saccharomycetes; Saccharomycetales; Saccharomycetaceae
Description: tRNA-Glu
Source: RNAcentral
AACUCCUUCGGGGUUCGGUCCCCACGGGGUCCCUCACUCCUUCUUAAAAAGGGGUUCGGUCCCCCUCCCGUUAA